CAGCAUAUACAAAAAUCAAAUGGAUUAAAGACUUGAAUGUAAAAUCUGAAACCGUAAAACUCCUAGGAGAAAAAAUAGGGGAAAAGCUCUUUGACAUUGGUCUGGGCGAUGAUUUCUUGGAUAUGACACCAAAAGCACAGGCAACAAAAGCAAAAAUUAAAAAGCGGGACUACAUCAAACUAAAAAUCUGCACAGCAAAGAAAACAAUCAACAAAGUGAGAAGCCAAUCUACUGAACGGGAGAAAAUAUUUUAAAACCACCUAGCCAAUAAAGGGAGUUACCUUUCAUGGAAGGGUAAGCAGGAAGCAACUACAAGAUCAUCAUUUCAAAACAAUAUGAAAGCAGAAUGGGAAAUGCCAUGGCAUGCUCCCUCUUUUCAGGUCUCCCAGGGUUUGGAUUUUCCUUGACAGAGCAUAGGGGAAGUGCUGAGUCCUCAGGCCCAUACCCAGAUGAAGAAGCACAGGCAUGAUCAAAGCUACAACUAUUAUAUCCAUCCGGGAUUUUCUUUUGUGAAUGAAAAGAAGAAAAGGCAUCAAUAAUGUGACCUUGGACUUACAGGCAAUAUGGACACUUUGGGGAAGUUAUGAAGCGUCUCCCAUUCCCGCUUGAGGUACUCAAUAGAGCCCACAAACACAAUGUGCUUGAGCUCAUGGUAAUGAAAGUUGCUGGCACGGAGCGGCAUCACCAGGUUCCGGAGGCCGAUCAGGGCUGAGCUGACGUCGCCAAAGAUGCAGACCACGACAUGGCCACUCAGGACGGUCAUGGCAGCUUCACUUCGAGUCUACAACAGGGAGAAGUGGGUAAGAGUCAGAGAGAAGACUGCAUAGGGCUGUUGUAAGGAGUGAAAUAAAUCAUUUGUGCAAAGAAUCAAGCAAAUA
This is a long non-coding RNA of Homo sapiens (human), 878 nucleotides long. RefSeq lists it as uncharacterized. The record is from RefSeq and is a predicted model, not a curated record. The transcript is spliced from 3 exons. Lineage: Eukaryota; Metazoa; Chordata; Mammalia; Primates; Hominidae.